GAUAGGUGGGAGGCUUUGAAGCGUGGACGCCAGUCUGCGUGGAGCCAACCUUGAAAUACCACCCUUUAAUGGCUGGUGUUCUAACGUAGACCCGUUACCCGGGUUGCGGACAGUGUCUGGUGGGUAGUUUGACUGGGGCGGUCUCCUCCCAAAGAGUAACGGAGGAGCACGAAGGUUGGCUAAUCCUGGUCGGACAUCAGGAGGUUAGUGCAAUGGCAUAAGCCAGCUUGACUGCGAGCGUGACGGCGCGAGCAGGUGCGAAAGCAGGUCAUAGUGAUCCGGUGGUUCUGAAUGGAAGGGCCAUCGCUCAACGGAUAAAAGGUACUCCGGGGAUAACAGGCUGAUACCGCCCAAGAGUUCAUAUCGACGGCGGUGUUUGGCACCUCGAUGUCGGCUCAUCACAUCCUGGGGCUGAAGUAGGUCCCAAGGGUAUGGCUGUUCGCCAUUUAAAGUGGUACGCGAGCUGGGUUUAGAACGUCGUGAGACAGUUCGGUCCCUAUCUGCCGUGGGCGCUGGAGAAUUGAGGGGGGCUGCUCCUAGUACGAGAGGACCGGAGUGGACGCAUCACUGGUGUUCGGGUUGUCAUGCCAAUGGCACUGCCCGGUAGCUAAAUGCGGAAGAGAUAAGUGCUGAAAGCAUCUAAGCACGAAACUUGCCCCGAGAUGAGUUCUCCCUGAGAC
Molecule: ribosomal RNA, 680 nt
Filed under: Enterobacter hormaechei
Lineage: Bacteria; Pseudomonadati; Pseudomonadota; Gammaproteobacteria; Enterobacterales; Enterobacteriaceae
Description: partial 23S ribosomal RNA
Rfam family: Bacterial large subunit ribosomal RNA
Source: RNAcentral